UCACCAUCCAUCAUCCAUCAAUCAUCCAUCAAUUAAAUAGUGACAGAUAGUAUUGUUUAUUUCUCUCUCCCAUGCAGCUGGGCAGCAACCAUCUCUCAACAGAGGAACGCUAGCGCCAACAGGAGGAGGGGAGGUGCAUGUACUGCGUGCAGCUGGGCCACUUCCUGGCUAGGUGUCCAUUAAACGACAGGGCUCAUCAGUAAACGGAGGGCUACUGGUGAGGUGAACCUCUUCUUCCUUCACACCACGCUCCAGACCUCUCACGCAAGCCUGCUUGUUUUCUCCUGCAGUUUCUCUGGAACUGGUGCAGAUGAGAACUUCAUCAACCGGGGCUUGGCCGAACAGUUCCAGCUGCAGUUGGAAAGACUUCUGGUUCCCCUGUCAGCCAAUGCAUUGGAUGGCCGCUUGCUCUGUUGGGUGAUUCACCGCACUCCGCCCCUCAGCCUCCUCAGGUUGAAGAAACAUAACCCUAACAUAGACUGGUGCACGGGGACUGUUCUGCAUCAUUGAUUCUCUAGAACAAGCUUCUUCUGAAACAUGCCUCUAGCCAGUAAUACAUUUGUAUCCCUAAAGCAAAAAGACCUGGAGAAUGGUGCUUUGUGCAACAUCUCAAAGCAGUAAAUUCAAUUGUUCUUGCAGCCACACCCAUUAUACCUGAUGUUAAUUCCAUUUUGGCCUCAUUGCCUCCCAAUUCUAAAUUUUACACAGUAGUGGAUUUGUGCUCAGCCUUCUUCUCAAUCUCAUCUUUUCUGAUAGCUAGUCUAUUUUUUAUUUCACCUUUGAGGAUCAGCAAUAAACAUUUACACCUGCGCUGCAAGGAUAUUGUGGCCUUUGAUAAAUGCAUGCUGCUGCAGUAAAGAGAGACCUUGAUGACCUUGUGCUCCCUGGUGGAAGUACAUUAUUCAUUAUGACCUCCUGAUGGCUUCCCCUCUGAAGAGGCCUGUAAAAGAGACUCUAUUCUCCUCCUGAAAUGUUUGACGUAAAGAGGUCACACAGGAUCGCUUGCCAAGUUGUCAGCCGAGGGUCAUCUUCAUGGAGUACAUUUUGAAAAACGGUCGCCUCCUCCUCUCACCAGACAGAGUAAAGCUGCUGUCUGCAGUACCUCCACACACAAAAGCAGAGAUGCACUCCUUCUUCGGCAUGACCAAUUACUGCAAUAAUUGGAUUCAUGGAUGAUCAGCAAUGGACUCUGUCCUUUGUGUUGCCACUCUGGACUCUGCACCUCAACCGCUUCAAUGAACUGAAAACUGCACACAACUGCAUUAAGAGACUUGUAGGCUGCUCUCACAUUAGGACCACCUUUGGGCUUGCCAGACUAUGAUCUGCCUUUUCAUAUGUGCAAGAGACAAUAAGCUUCAUCUUGGGCAUCUUGAUUGAGAAACAUGGCUCUCCUUACUCAUCGAUGGCUUUCAAUUCUUCUAAGCUGCCUCUUGUAAUGCAGGGGAUACCAGCCUGUUUGCGAGCUGUUGCAGCUAAGACUAUCCUAAUUGGGAAGUCACCCAAAACAUGACAGCUGCUCCAAGUCAGGCUACAACGUGACCAUUCUGUCCAGCUCUAACAUCUUGGUUCAUAGAGCCCUGCCAUUAAAUCCAGCUGCAUUGUAAAUGUACAUGAUUGUAAAUCAUUGGCUGAUACAGUUCCAUCAUCUAGGCCAGACUUUAUGCAAGCUCCUAUUCUAAAUUCUGACUUGAUUUUCUUUUGUAAUGGCUCAGCAACGGGACCCUCAGACACCCAAUACCUUUCUGGUUAUGUGUCACCACUGAAACAGGUGUAGUGGAGGCACAUGCUUUGUCUCCUGGAACUUCGGCUUGAUAAGCAAAGUUGUACAAUACUUACGACACGUGCCUAUAUUUUGGCUAACUGGCCUUGUCCCUGACUUGAGGCAAUGAAUGAGCCAUGAGGUUAUGCGGACGCGGGAAGGGGAGAGGCAAGCCCUGUGGCAAUCCCUUUUCCUAACUUGCCACGGGUCUCAACCAGUGGGGGAGUGCUCUUGCGGGCCCACAAACCUGCCCUGAUCGCUCUGUCUCAAGAAACCUAUCAGGAUUUACACCCCUAACCAAUUGACUCCUAAAAGUUAUGAGGCUUCGCCGAAUCUGAACACCUGGUCGGUCCGGGGAGGGGUCCCUACACAGGCUCUCUACCCUUAAGGUGUGUGUGUGUGUGUGUGUGUGUGACUAAGUCAAAUCAGUUAUGUAGCUGUGGUGUGGCAGCACUGAAACUUACCUCUCUGAGGCAAAGCAGUGUACUUCUUGGAGAACCCUAGCUCUAUAUGCUUUUGUUAGCUCUCUCUCAGAAUAAACUAAUCACACAGGUGCUUGUUAUGUUUUAUGGGAUAAUGCAGGGUUAUAAUGUCACAAUGUAAAUAAAAAAAAUAAUAAAAAAUAAAAAGGUGGAAAACUG
Molecule: long non-coding RNA, 2400 nt
Organism: Siniperca chuatsi (mandarin fish)
Lineage: Eukaryota; Metazoa; Chordata; Actinopteri; Centrarchiformes; Sinipercidae
Exons: 2
Source: RefSeq, a predicted model, not a curated record